RNAcentral lists this ribosomal RNA (2901 nucleotides) under Pasteurella multocida. Its description in RNAcentral is "23S ribosomal RNA". It matches the Rfam family "Bacterial large subunit ribosomal RNA". Lineage: Bacteria; Pseudomonadati; Pseudomonadota; Gammaproteobacteria; Pasteurellales; Pasteurellaceae. The record is from RNAcentral.
GGUUAAGUGACUAAGCGUACAGGGCGGAUGCCUUGGCAAUCAGAGGCGAUGAAGGACGUGCUAAUCUGCGAAAAGCUUGGAUGAGUCGAUAAGAGGCGUUUAAUCCAAGAUGUCCGAAUGGGGAAACCCAGUAGAUGAAGAAUCUACUAUCAAUAAAUGAAUACAUAGUUUAUUGAGGCGAACCGGGAGAACUGAAACAUCUAAGUACCCCGAGGAAAAGAAAUCAACCGAGAUUCUGUGAGUAGCGGCGAGCGAAAGCGGAAGAGCCAGUAAGUUUUAGCUAGCGUAUUAGAGGAAUUGGCUGGGAAGCCAAAUCAAAGAGGGUGAUAAUCCCGUACUCGAAAGUAUGGUAGUGGAACUAAGCUUACGAUAAGUAAGGCGGGACACGAGAAAUCCUGUUUGAAGAUGGGGGGACCAUCCUCCAAGGCUAAAUACUCCUGAUUGACCGAUAGUGAACCAGUACUGUGAAGGAAAGGCGAAAAGAACCCCGGUGAGGGAGUGAAAUAGAACCUGAAACCCUGUACGUACAAGCAGUAGGAGCGAGGGCAACCUUGUGACUGCGUACCUUUUGUAUAAUGGGUCAGCGACUUAUAUUUUGUAGCGAGGUUAACUGAAUAAGGGAGCCGAAGGGAAACCGAGUCUUAACUGGGCGUUGAGUUGCAAGGUAUAGACCCGAAACCCGGUGAUCUAGCCAUGGGCAGGUUGAAGGUUGGGUAACACUAACUGGAGGACCGAACCGACUAAUGUUGAAAAAUUAGCGGAUGACUUGUGGCUGGGGGUGAAAGGCCAAUCAAACCGGGAGAUAGCUGGUUCUCCCCGAAAUCUAUUUAGGUAGAGCCUUGAGCGGACACCUUCGGGGGUAGAGCACUGUUUCGGCUAGGGGUCCAUCCCGGAUUACCAACCCGAUGCAAACUGCGAAUACCGAAGAGUGAUACUCAGGAGACACACGGCGGGUGCUAACGUUCGUCGUGGAGAGGGAAACAACCCAGACCGCCAGCUAAGGUCCCGAAGUCUAUAUUAAGUGGGAAACGAAGUGGGAAGGCUUAGACAGCUAGGAUGUUGGCUUAGAAGCAGCCAUCAUUUAAAGAAAGCGUAAUAGCUCACUAGUCGAGUCGGCCUGCGCGGAAGAUGUAACGGGGCUCAAAUAUAGCACCGAAGCUGCGGCAUCAGAAUUUAUUCUGUUGGGUAGGGGAGCGUUGUGUAAGCGGAUGAAGGUGGCUCGAGAGGGUUGCUGGACGUAUCACAAGUGCGAAUGCUGACAUAAGUAACGAUAAAACGAGUGAAAAACUCGUUCGCCGGAAGACCAAGGGUUCCUGUCCAACGUUAAUCGGGGCAGGGUGAGUCGGCCCCUAAGGCGAGGCUGAAAAGCGUAGUCGAUGGGAAACGGGUUAAUAUUCCCGUACUUGGAUAAACUGCGAUGUGGGGACGGAGAAGGUUAGGUUAGCAGACUGUUGGAUGUCUGUUUAAGGUGGUAGGUGGAAGACUUAGGCAAAUCCGGGUCUUUAUAAAACACUGAGAGCUGAUGACGAGGUCUUAAGGGACUGAAGUAACUGAUACCCUGCUUCCAGGAAAAGCCACUAAGCUUCAGGUUUAUCUAAACCGUACUGAAAACCGACACAGGUGGUCAGGUAGAGAAUACUCAGGCGCUUGAGAGAACUCGGGUGAAGGAACUAGGCAAAAUAGCACCGUAACUUCGGGAGAAGGUGCGCUUACAGUAAUUGUAGUCCCUUGCGGAUGAAGGUGAAGUAAGUCGAAGAUACCAGCUGGCUGCAACUGUUUAUUAAAAACACAGCACUCUGCAAACACGAAAGUGGACGUAUAGGGUGUGAUGCCUGCCCGGUGCUGGAAGGUUAAUUGAUGGUGUUAUCGAAAGAGAAGCUCCUGAUCGAAGCCCCAGUAAACGGCGGCCGUAACUAUAACGGUCCUAAGGUAGCGAAAUUCCUUGUCGGGUAAGUUCCGACCUGCACGAAUGGCAUAAUGAUGGCCAGGCUGUCUCCACCCGAGACUCAGUGAAAUUGAAAUCGCCGUGAAGAUGCGGUGUACCCGCGGCUAGACGGAAAGACCCCGUGAACCUUUACUAUAGCUUGACACUGAACAUUGAAUUUUGAUGUGUAGGAUAGGUGGGAGCCUUUGAAGCAGUGACGCCAGUCAUUGUGGAGGCGACCUUGAAAUACCACCCUUUAACGUUUGAUGUUCUAACGAAGUGCCUGAAACGGGUACUCGGACAGUGUCUGGUGGGUAGUUUGACUGGGGCGGUCUCCUCCCAAAGCGUAACGGAGGAGCACGAAGGUUUGCUAAUGACGGUCGGACAUCGUCAGGUUAGUGCAAUGGUAUAAGCAAGCUUAACUGCGAGACAGACAAGUCGAGCAGGUGCGAAAGCAGGUCAUAGUGAUCCGGUGGUUCUGAAUGGAAGGGCCAUCGCUCAACGGAUAAAAGGUACUCCGGGGAUAACAGGCUGAUACCGCCCAAGAGUUCAUAUCGACGGCGGUGUUUGGCACCUCGAUGUCGGCUCAUCACAUCCUGGGGCUGAAGUAGGUCCCAAGGGUAUGGCUGUUCGCCAUUUAAAGUGGUACGCGAGCUGGGUUUAGAACGUCGUGAGACAGUUCGGUCCCUAUUCUGCCGUGGGCGUUGGAUGAUUGAUUGGGGCUGCUCCUAGUACGAGAGGACCGGAGUGGACGCAUCACUGGUGUUCCAGUUGUCUCGCCAGAGGCAUUGCUGGGUAGCUAAAUGCGGAAGAGAUAAGUGCUGAAAGCAUCUAAGCACGAAACUUGCCAAGAGAUGAGUCAUCCCUGACUUUAAGUCAGUAAGGGUUGUUGUAGACUACGACGUAGAUAGGUUGGGUGUGUAAGUGUAGUGAUACAUUGAGCUAACCAAUACUAAUUGCCCGAGAGGCUUAACCAU